This 107-nucleotide small nucleolar RNA is filed under the name Olea europaea subsp. europaea. The record is from RNAcentral. Lineage: Eukaryota; Viridiplantae; Streptophyta; Magnoliopsida; Lamiales; Oleaceae.
UAUCCAUGGUGGGGGCAAAGGGUUUGUCACUCUUUAUAUCUCUUCCAGGCUUGGUAUAAAGUUUCACUGUCCUUUUGGGCAAGUGAGGAAAUUUGCUUCUUAAGGGC